Molecule: RNA transcript, 3059 nt
Organism: Eucalyptus grandis
Lineage: Eukaryota; Viridiplantae; Streptophyta; Magnoliopsida; Myrtales; Myrtaceae
Gene name: hydroxyproline O-galactosyltransferase GALT3
Exons: 9
Source: RefSeq, a predicted model, not a curated record
GCAGCAGCAACUGGUUCCCUCCUCCUACUUCAUGCUCGCUCCGACGGGAGAUCCCGCACGCUUCCGCUAUCUCCUCGGCCCUCCUCCGCCGUCGUUUUCCGCCCUCGUCCGCCGCCGGCGAGGCUCGAGCACCUCUCCGGCCUCGGGGAGCCCGUAUCCGUGGCGGCGCUCUCGACGCGCCGUGGCUUCGCUUGGACUAGCUCGGUCCCGAGCUGGCGGCUCCGGUCUCCGGCUCCGCGAAGCCGACAAUGGCGGUCAAAAUCGUUUCUUUCUGUGGAAGGGGUCGCCGCCUUUGAGACCCGAUUGGCGAGAACGCUGGGAGAGGAGAGGCGAGAUGGAAGGAGUCGAGCUUGUGUGUUGCAAUCUUUCCUGCUGUUGAUUUGCUUAGUACAAAUGAACGGGAGGGUUAAUUAGUGGAGUGUGAACCGGACUUUGUGUUUUUGCUUAUGCUUUGUUGAGAAAUGAAGAAAUGGUCAGGGGGCAUGUUGAUUGUAGCUCUUGCUACCAUCUUGAUAGUCCGUUACAGCCUGGUGGGAAACAAGGUGAUCAAGCGGCAGAAGCAGUCUGCGUAUGAUUUCUUUAGAAACCACCAUCCUAGCGAUAAAUCUCGAGUGAAAGACAAUGGUUCUCUGCCACCCUUUCAGAAUAAGGUGACAGCGCUUAAAAAUAGACCAUCGGAGAAGCCCACUCUUGUUAAUUUUAAAGGACUAGAUGACCUAUAUGGCUUCAGAAAUAUUUCAGUCGAAAAGCAUAAAUACCUUCUUGCGUGGGGUCAGAUGCGGAAGCUGCUUUCCAGGUCAGAUGCACUUCCAGAAACAGCUAAAGGAAUAUAUGAGGCCUCCGUCGCGUGGAAGGAUUUCUCUGCUAUUCUGCAUAACAAAGAAGCCUCCCAGGCUAGUAUUGUCAACAUCAGUGAAGAUAGAAAUUGCCCACCAUUUGUGAGUAGAUUUAGGAAGACGAAUUCAAGCAAUGUAACUUUCCUUGAGCUGCCGUGUGGGCUAAUUGAGGAUUCCUCAGUUACACUGGUUGCCAUUCCUCAUGGUGGCCAGGGAAGCUUUCAUAUUGAUCUAAUAGGAUCACGAAUUUCUCGAGAGGCUGAUGCGCCUAUUGUCUUGCAUUAUAAUGUGAGUUUGCCUGGAGAGAAUAUGACAGAGGAACCAUUUGUCGUGCAAAAUACCUGGACUGAUGAAUUUGGAUGGGGUAAAGAGGAGAGAUGUCCUGCUCAUGGAUCUGUUAACAGCUUGAAAGCAGGUUUUAUGCUGGAUGGACUUGCUCUUUGCAAUGAACAAUUGAUUAGAGGUACUGUGGCAGAAAGUUCAAAUGCAAGAAGCAGUGAAAGUUUGACCAAUGUAUCUAGAAGUGUACAUGCAAGUGCCAAUUUUCCAUUUGCAGAAGGGAGUUUAUUCACUGCCACGCUAUGGGUUGGUCUGGAGGGUUUCCAUAUGACAGUUAAUGGAAGGCAUGAAACAUCAUUUGCUUUCAGGGAGAAACUUGAACCAUGGUCAGUUAAUCGUGUUGAAGUGGUUGGUGAUUUGGAUGUGUUAUCAACUAUAGCUGAAGGUUUGCCUGUAUCUGAGGAUCAUGAGUUGGUUGUUGAUGCUGAGCAUCUCAAAGCUCCAUUAAUUACCCGGAAAAGACUUGUGAUGUUGAUUGGAGUUUUCUCAAGUGGGAAUAAUUUUGAGAGACGAAUGGCUAUAAGGAGGUCUUGGAUGCAAUAUGAAGCCAUACGUUCUGGGGAAGUAGCUGUUCGAUUUUUCAUUGGUCUUCACCAAACCAUGCAAGUAAAUGUUGAGCUGUGGAAAGAAGCUCAAGCAUACGAGGACAUCCAAUUCAUGCCUUUUGUAGAUUAUUACAGCCUUAUCAGUUACAAGACAGUUGCAAUCUGUAUUAUGGGGACGAAAAUCGUCCCUGCCAAGUACAUCAUGAAAGCAGAUGAUGACGCUUUUGUGAGGAUCGAUGAGGUACUGUCAAUUCUCAAGGGAAAACCAUCUAAUGGUCUCUUAUACGGUCUCAUAUCUUCUGACUCAUCUCCCCAUAGAGAAAAGGACAGCAAAUGGUAUGUCAGUGAGAAGGAGUGGCCACAUGAUAAGUAUCCUCCAUGGGCUCACGGUCCAGGUUAUAUAAUCUCUCAAGACAUUGCAAAGUUUAUUGUUCAGGGCCACCAAGAAGGAGAUCUUAAGUGGUUUAAGCUAGAAGAUGUUGCGAUGGGCAUAUGGAUAGAGCACUUCAAGAACAGCGGCAAGGAAGUGCACUACAUAAGUGACGACAGAUUCUAUAAUGCUGGAUGUGACUCUGAAUACAUUCUUGCCCAUUAUCAAGGCCCUAGGAAGCUGUUGUGCCUCUGGGAGAAGCUGCAGAAAGAGCACCAGCCCAACUGUUGUGAAUGAAAGUUCAUCUCGCAUGUAAAAAGUGCCCUCAAUCUUGUAUGAAAGAACCCAGAAAGUCUCUCGACGGAAUCGCCGUUUUUCCAGCAGCAAGGGAUUGUUUUCACACGAGUCCCAAUGCCACGGUUCUUCCUCAAAUGCCAAAAUGGAGUAAUGACUCGCGAAAUUUCGUUAAACUUUGUGGUUGGAUGGUCUGAAAACUCCCUAUUUGUUGGUUCUUUCAUUCAUGGUCAUCAGGGUGUGUCCCAUCUUCCAUGUGUUUCCUUCCCACCGCUUGCUUCCUCCACCUAUAGCUCAAAAGCUUCUUCAUCUUCAAGCAGCUGGCGAAAGCUACCAAGAGGUCCUUCCAUACAUCUAUCAUAUUCAUUCUUCUGUUUGAUAGGACAGACCAUGCCCCACUCGUACCAAGUGCAAAAUGGUGCUCGGUUCCAUUUGGACACUCAGAAGAUGUGGAACGGAAUGCGACGGGAUCAUCUUCAGGCAGUCAUUUCAUUGGCAAAUGGCUCAAUCAGAGACUUGCCCAAGUUAGGUCACUUGCAUCUCUUGAAGACUGUACCAUAAACAAUGCGAAUUGGACACGUAUGUGGCCUAGAAAUCUUCGAAACAUGUGGAGACCAGCAGGUCCACUUCAAUCGACAUGCAACGGGAGGUGGGCAAGUGCGCUUUUUUUUUCAA